RNAcentral lists this long non-coding RNA (213 nucleotides) under Scleropages formosus (Asian bonytongue). RNAcentral describes it as "lncRNA (ENSSFOG00015031647.1)". Lineage: Eukaryota; Metazoa; Chordata; Actinopteri; Osteoglossiformes; Osteoglossidae. The record is from RNAcentral.
AGGCCGAAGGCUGAAUGGCCAAGGAGAGACCUCUGUAGUGUCUACGAAGACCAUUUCCAGCUCCCCCCUCUCCGGCAUCGCGGCCCCCGGGCUUUGAUCCCAUCCAGCACCGGUGCAGUAGGCCCAGAGUGGUGCUGACAGCUGGCCGACCAUAACGUCACUGCACUCGCCUUCUGCAACAUGUCCAGUGUUGUCACAGAAUCUCCACGGAAA